RNAcentral lists this small RNA (127 nucleotides) under Marmota monax (woodchuck). The record is from RNAcentral. Lineage: Eukaryota; Metazoa; Chordata; Mammalia; Rodentia; Sciuridae.
GCCUGGCACAGUGACGCAUGCCUGUAAUCCCAGCUGCUUGGGAGGUGGAGGCAGGAGGAUCACGAGUUCAAAGCCAGCCUCAGCAGUUUAGCUAGGUCCUAAGCAACUCAGUGAGACUCUGUCUCUA